Unclassified non-coding RNA from Mustela putorius furo (domestic ferret), 328 nucleotides. Its record names the gene 7SK. It matches the Rfam family "7SK RNA". Rfam says of the family: 7SK was discovered as an abundant small nuclear RNA in the mid-70s but a possible function has only recently been suggested. NCBI's taxonomy places the organism in Eukaryota, Metazoa, Chordata, Mammalia, Carnivora, Mustelidae. The record is from Ensembl.
AGAUAUGAGGGCAAGCUGGCUGUGAGAGCUGUCACCCCCAUUGAUUUCCAGGAUGAAUCUGGCUGAUCUGGCUGGCUAGCAGAUGUCCAUUUCCUUUCUCACCACCCCAUGAGCCCUCCUCCCAAAUCUGCAAGCUUAGUUACAGAGGACGACCGACCUGCCCUGGCAGAGGAGGACAUUCUUCAUUCAAGGGUAUACGAGUAGCUGGCUCCCCUGCUAGGACCUCCAAACAAGACUUUAAGGUCCAUUUGUAGGAGAACAUAGGACAGGCAAGUUUCCAAGUCUCCAAAUACAUCUAAACGAGGGGCUGCAUGUGGCAGUCUGCUUU